Molecule: ribosomal RNA, 119 nt
Filed under: Pteropus alecto (black flying fox)
Lineage: Eukaryota; Metazoa; Chordata; Mammalia; Chiroptera; Pteropodidae
Source: RNAcentral
GUCUACGGCCAUGCCACCCUGAACACACCUGAUCUUGUCUGAUCUCGGAAGCUAAGCAGGGUCAGGCCUGGUUAGUCCUUGGAUGGGAGACCACCUAGGAAGACCAGGUGCUGCAGGCA